RNAcentral lists this ribosomal RNA (253 nucleotides) under uncultured prokaryote. RNAcentral describes it as "partial 16S ribosomal RNA". It matches the Rfam family "Bacterial small subunit ribosomal RNA", at positions 524 to 776 of the family's 1533-position model. The record is from RNAcentral.
UACAGAGGGGGCAAGCGUUAUUCGGAAUUAUUGGGCGUAAAGGGCGCGUAGGCGGCUUGGCAAGUGGAUGGUGAAAUCCCUCGGCUUAACCGAGGAACUGCCGUCCAAACUGCUUCGCUUGAGACCGGGAGAGGUGAGUGGAAUUCCCAGUGUAGCGGUGAAAUGCGUAGAUAUCAGGAGGAACACCGGUGGUGUAGACGGCUUUCUGGACCGUAACUGACGCUGAGACACGAAAGCGUGGGUAGCAAACAGG